RNAcentral lists this ribosomal RNA (253 nucleotides) under uncultured bacterium. RNAcentral's name for it is "partial 16S ribosomal RNA". It matches the Rfam family "Bacterial small subunit ribosomal RNA", at positions 524 to 776 of the family's 1533-position model. The record is from RNAcentral.
GACGAACCGAGCAAACGUUAUUCGGAAUCACUGGGCUUAAAGGGCGCGUAGGCGGGUCACCAAGUCCGGGGUGAAAUCUUUCGGCUCAACCGGAAAAUUGCCUUGGAUACUGGUGGUCUUGAGGGAGGUAGGGGCAUGUGGAACUUCCGGUGGAGCGGUGAAAUGCGUUGAUAUCGGAAGGAACGCCGGUGGCGAAAGCGACGUGCUGGAUCUCUUCUGACGCUGAGGUGCGAAAGCUAGGGUAGCAAACGGG